ACAUAUUCCAAUCUCACAUGACAGAACAGACUGGUCUGCGAAAAGAGAAGAUGCGCAGCCACUGCAUUUUGAGGUCACUGAACGCACUGAUUGGGGUUUUGCAGGACGGUGGGGGAGGGAAAAAGAUCACGCAUUGCUGAACUUCUCAAGGUUUGAAGCACCAUGUGUUCUUCAGAAUAAUCGAGAACUCAUUGAUGAGAAUGGAGUGAAGCAGUACUUCACAGGCCUUUUCCUUUGCAGACCAACUGGACAA
RNAcentral lists this unclassified non-coding RNA (253 nucleotides) under Hevea brasiliensis (rubber tree). The record is from RNAcentral. Lineage: Eukaryota; Viridiplantae; Streptophyta; Magnoliopsida; Malpighiales; Euphorbiaceae.